UAGGGAAUCUUCCACAAUGGACGCAAGUCUGAUGGAGCAACGCCGCGUGAGUGAAGAAGGUUUUCGGACCGUAAAGCUCUGUUGUUGGUGAAGAAGGAUAGAGGUAGUAACUGGCCUUUAUUUGACGGUAAUCAACCAGAAAGUCACGGCUAACUACGUGCCAGCAGCCGCGGUAAUACGUAGGUGGCAAGCGUUGUCCGGAUUUAUUGGGCGUAAAGCGAGCGCAGGCGGAAGAAUAAGUCUGAUGUGAAAGCCCUCGGCUUAACCGAGGAAUUGCAUCGGAAACUGUUUUCUUGAGUGCAGAAGAGGAGAGUAGAACUCCAUGUGUAGCGGUGGAAUGCGUAGAUAUAUGGAAGAAUACCAGUGGCGAAGGCGGCUCUCUGGUCUGCAACUGACGCUGAGGCUCGAAAGCAUGGGUAGCGAACAGGAUUAGAUACCCUGGUAGUCCAUGCCGUAAACGAUGAGUGCUAAGUGUUGGGAGGCUUCCGCCUCUCGGUGCUGCAGCUAACGCAUUAAGCACUCCGCCUGGGGGAGUACGACCGCAAGGUUGAAAC
RNAcentral lists this ribosomal RNA (554 nucleotides) under uncultured bacterium. RNAcentral's name for it is "partial 16S ribosomal RNA". It matches the Rfam family "Bacterial small subunit ribosomal RNA", at positions 355 to 900 of the family's 1533-position model. The record is from RNAcentral.